RNAcentral lists this microRNA precursor (125 nucleotides) under Cavia aperea (Brazilian guinea pig). RNAcentral's name for it is "miRNA (ENSCAPG00000004107.1)". Lineage: Eukaryota; Metazoa; Chordata; Mammalia; Rodentia; Caviidae. The record is from RNAcentral.
GGUCUCGCUAUGCAGUUAUGGCUGGCCUUGAGCUCACUUUGUAGCCCAGGCUGGUCUUGAACUCAGAACAAUCCUCCUGCCUCAGCCUCCCGAGUGCUGGGAUUACAGGCGUGAGCCACCAUUCC